RNAcentral lists this ribosomal RNA (1005 nucleotides) under Klebsiella pneumoniae. RNAcentral's name for it is "bacterial SSU rRNA". It matches the Rfam family "Bacterial small subunit ribosomal RNA", at positions 38 to 1036 of the family's 1533-position model. The record is from RNAcentral. Lineage: Bacteria; Pseudomonadati; Pseudomonadota; Gammaproteobacteria; Enterobacterales; Enterobacteriaceae.
GGCGGCAGGCUAACACCUGCAAGUCGAGCGGUAGCACAGAGAGCUUGCUCUCGGGUGACGAGCGGCGGACGGGUGAGUAAUGUCUGGGAAACUGCUGAUGGAGGGGGAUAACUACUGGAAACGGUAGCUAAUACCGCAUAACGUCGCAAGACCAAAGUGGGGGACCUUCGGGCCUCAUGCCAUCAGAUGUGCCCAGAUGGGAUUAGCUAGUAGGUGGGGUAACGGCUCACCUAGGCGACGAUCCCUAGCUGGUCUGAGAGGAUGACCAGCCACACUGGAACUGAGACACGGUCCAGACUCCUACGGGAGGCAGCAGUGGGGAAUAUUGCACAAUGGGCGCAAGCCUGAUGCAGCCAUGCCGCGUGUAUGAAGAAGGCCUUCGGGUUGUAAAGNACUUUCAGCGGGGAGGAAGGCGAUAAGGUUAAUAACCUNGUCGAUUGACGUUACCCGCAGAAGAAGCACCGGCUAACUCCGUGCCAGCAGCCGCGGUAAUACGGAGGGUGCAAGCGUUAAUCGGAAUUACUGGGCGUAAAGCGCACGCAGGCGGUCUGUCAAGUCGGAUGUGAAAUCCCCGGGCUCAACCUGGGAACUGCAUUCGAAACUGGCAGGCUAGAGUCUUGUAGAGGGGGGUAGAAUUCCAGGUGUAGCGGUGAAAUGCGUAGAGAUCUGGAGGAAUACCGGUGGCGAAGGCGGCCCCCUGGACAAAGACUGACGCUCAGGUGCGAAAGCGUGGGGAGCAAACAGGAUUAGAUACCCUGGUAGUCCACGCCGUAAACGAUGUCGAUUUGGAGGUUGUGCCCUUGAGGCGUGGCUUCCGGAGCUAACGCGUUAAAUCGACCGCCUGGGGAGUACGGCCGCAAGGUUAAAACUCAAAUGAAUUGACGGGGGCCCGCACAAGCGGUGGAGCAUGUGGUUUAAUUCGAUGCAACGCGAAGAACCUUACCUGGUCUUGACAUCCACAGAACUUNCCAGAGAUGGCUUGGUGCCUUCGGGAACUGUGAGACA